This 9686-nucleotide long non-coding RNA is filed under the name Lynx pardinus (Iberian lynx). Lineage: Eukaryota; Metazoa; Chordata; Mammalia; Carnivora; Felidae. The record is from RNAcentral.
AAAAUCAAGAGUUGGAACUUCAACCUUCUUCCUUUUAAGAACAUCUUCUCCUUCUUCCUUUAAAGAUCUUGCCCAUUUACCUGGUAAUCAUAGUUAUUUUAGCAUAAGUCCUAAAUCAUAUUUUUUCACUAGAUGAGAUAUCUCUAGACAUGCCACCUAAUUUUUAAACAGAACACUAAUGAUUACAAGUUUCCUUUUUGUGAUUACUGUAAAGCCUUUAACGAACCAUUUAAUGCCUAGUGUUUUUUCUUUUUUAAUUAUUCCCCAAAUUUUCAGGAGUGGAAUAAUUGGGUCAAAAGAUCUGAUGGAUCCUGAUAUAUAUUUCCAAGUCUUUUCCACAGGAAAAACUGACCAGUUUGCAAGUUCCAUCUUCAAUUGGGGAACCAAUGUUGUCUCCAUUAUUCUGCAUUAGGUAUUAGUAUUUUAUUAAACUUACUGAUCCGAUCUUGGCUCUUGCAUAACAUUUUUUGCGUGAGGGACGAAGCGUGAUCCUGCCUGACCCUCGUCUACCGCGGCUCUGGGCGGGGCGGGGGUGGGGGGGGUGGGGGGCGUUGGAGGGUGCGCUGUGCUCGGGCGCCCCCUGUCGCCCAUUGUGACGCCGGUCGCGUGCCGGAUUCCCUAGGCGAGCAGCGGCGGCAGCGGCGGCGGCGGCGGCGGCGGGGCAGAGCCCCUAAACCAUGGCCGAGUCACAAGAGCUGCUGCUGCAGCUGCAGAAGGACAACCGCGACGGGCGACUACGGAAGCAGGAGCUGGAGGAGCUAGUGCGGGGGCUUGAGGCCGAGAGCGAGAGCCUCACCGGGCGCCUGCAGGACCUGCGGGAGCGUGAGCGCAGGUGCGAGGGAAGCGGGGCUCAAUGGGGACGAGGCGGGCGCGCGAGGGUCAGUACUACGGGUGGUGGCACCCAGGCCUGGGCAGAGCGGCUGGCCGGCCCGUCGGUUACGCCUCCCCGCAGGGCCCGAACCUCCGCUCUAAGCCGGCGGGACCUGGAAGAUCUACUCAGGGGACCCACGAAGGGGAGGGUGCGGCGACCCGGCGCGGGCUUCCUCAGCCUCACUAGUAACUGGCCUUUCCCGGCGGUUGCGGGAGUCUGAACACCCGCCGCCUCCCUCGGUGGCACCGCCUCAGUUUCCCCUCUGCAGCCUACAGCGGAAGCGAAGCCAGGCGGCGCGGGCCCAGAGAGGGGAGGCGCGCGAGGCGGCGCGGGAGCGCGCGGAGCGCGCGCGCGCGCUGCUGGAAGCGGCGGAGCAGCACAAGCAAGACUUGGUGGGGCCUGGGCCUCGACUGGGGCUAUGCCUGCGGAGAGGGCGGGGCCCUAAAUAGGACCCGGGCAGGGUCCGGACCCAGUUUGGGGCCGUUCCGAUGCUGGGACCCCGCCCCGACUGGGGUAGGGCCAGCAGCGGAGCCUGGGGUCUCUGAGAGGCCCAGACUGCCCCCCUCAACCCUAUCCACAGGAGCAACACAACCGGCAGUUGCAGGAGCAGUGGGAGGAGCUGUCAAGUCAGGUACAGUCAGGAGGCGGCCUUGGUCUCUAGCUUCCCCUAGGAAGUCCCGUUGUAGUCCUCGCCCCGGUUUUUACCCUGUCCCGGCCUUUAAGGACAUCCCCUACCCCUUGAAGCCCCGCAAACCCCGUCCUCACAAGACCCAUCCCUAGCUCUUCUACUACGGAGGGGAACAACUGAGUCAACAGCGCGCAGAACAGCAACUCGGGACCCAACUGAUGGCUUUGCAGGUGUUUGGGUGGGGCCCCCAAUGCCGGAGCGGCGGUGCGAGCAGCUCCCUGAGGGGCGGGGGUGGGCCAAGCGGACGCGUGGGUGGGGUUCCGGGAGUGCUGGGCUCCUGACAUUCCUUGGAUCCGUCGGAAGAAACAACUGGAGGUGGUGGAGGCCAAGCACGCCAAGCAGGCCGAGGGCCUGCGGCAGGUGCGAGCGAAGCUGGGGUUUGAGGGAGAGUGUCGGUUUCGAGUGUGGGUGGAGCCUGGGCAGGUGCAGGAUGGAGAGGGGUUAUUAUCCCAAGUCUCAUCAGGGCCCCCCACAUCCCAGGGCGUGCAGCGGACGGAGGAGGCUUGGGCCAGCUUUCAGGAGCAGAGCGGAGUCCUGCAGGUACGACCCCCCUCAGUCCCAAGAGCAGCUCACCUCCGACUCCACUGUGGCUCCCACUCCUCCACCCCCAGAGCUGCUCCUCUCUCUCCCCGCCCCACCCCACCCCCAGAUCUCCUCUGCGAGUCCUGGGGCCUUACUCCCUCCCCGUCCAGGAGCUGCAGGGAAAGGUGAUGGAGGCGGCGGCUACGCUGGACGCCUCGAGGGGCGGCCGGGAACUGUAAGGGGUUCAGGACUGUGGGGGUAAGGUGGGGUGGCUGUGGAACCGAGGCAGAUCGUCCACCUCGAUGCCCUUCCCGGCAGGUGCGACUCCCAGCCUCGACGGAUGCAGGACUGCGCGGGCUCGCUCAUGGAAGAGGUGGCCAAAGCUGACUGUGUGAGCGCGGGCCCUGGGCGGGGCGCGCUGGAGUCGGGACCCAACACAUGGGAGAUACCCACACCCACGGGGUCCCACCUGCCCUCGAGGGCCCGCCCCCCGACGGAAUCGCAACCCCCGUACCCGCCCUGCGGGAGACUGGUCCCCUACGAUUCCCUCCCGCUCCUUGAGAGACCCGGACCUCGCGGCGCCCUCCGCUCCGGCGCUGAGCUGGACGCUGCUCCGUCUUUCCGUAGGAGAGGCGGCUUUUCGGCGGCACCUGCGGAGCGGGCCUCAGGUGAGCCAGUGGCAGGCGGCGGGCGCGCUGGGCGUCUUGCCCGCCACUGCCCGUCUAUCCGUCCGUCCUUGGGUCCGCAGGCUGUGGGGUCUGGGCGCGCUGCAGACGCUGCUGUUGCUCCCGCUUGGUUUCCUGGCGCUGCCUAUGCUCUGCCUGAUGCUGGUGAACCCCUCCGCCCUCCGCGGGGGGCUCCCGCGCUUCGACUUGGACGCAGCCUUCCGCGGUUUGCGCUACACUCUGUCCCCGCUGCUCCAACUGCGCGCGCGCGGCCUGCUGCCCGCCUAACGCGCAUCAUGCCGGCCGUGGCCACAAGCACUAAGCACUUCUGUCUCCUGUGUGGUUUCUGGGCGCCUGGGGGGAGGCCGAGGGGAGACUCCUGGGGUGGGGGGUGUAAUGUGUCGCUCGGCCCAGCGGCCCUGGCACCUCCGGCGCAGAGGGUGCUGGGCCUUCCAGGCGGUGCUUAAGUUUGCAGAGGCUGUCCCGGGCGCCUCUCGGCGGAGCCCGCGACUCGGGAGUGAGCAGGGUGCGUCCUCGUCUGACACCGGCGCCUUGGGCUGGCUCGCACCAAGGAGCUCCCGGGAGGGGUCCCCUUUCCUGCAGCCCCUGCUGCCACGCCUGAGCCAACUCGGAAGUUGGCCAGUAUCUUUUGCUAAACUUGCUUUUUCCCUGCUAGUGAGCCUGGGGGUUGGGGGAGCAGGCCGGUCAAGUCCUCUCCGUGGAGAUCCGUGGUUCCUCUGGCCCGGCUGCUUGGGGGUGAUUUAGUUCCCCACAGUACCUCUUGUUUUUUUUUUCAGGGUCGGUUCUUCUUGGUGCGGGUUCGGGCAUUCCUCUCCUGUGGUCCGCCCCGCUUUCCGGGAGUCCCAGCCCUGCUGGCAGUGUACGUGCAGCUCACCACUGCAGUCUUUGUGAGAACUCGUCUUUUUACUCAUGUGAAAUGCUCUGCUUAGUGGAAAUGAUGAACCUUGAGUUUCAUUUUGCCCUACUUUUACCCGUUACAUUUUUUGGUAGUAAAAUUGUUCCGUGUAUCUCCUUGUUGCCGGCGCGGCACACAGGUUUUUGCUGUGGCCUCCAAAUAAUCGUUUUCUUAUUGAUUUGUGGGUGUUUUUUUAGUCUUUUGGGAGUUAAAUUUGUUUAUGUAAUCCUGUGUAUAAAAUUCUAUCAAAUUUAAGACUUAACGUGCUGUGUCCUAAAUGGAUUUCAUUCUUGGGGUGCCUGGGUGGCUUGGUUGUGUUUGACACUUGCCUAGGAGUUGUAAAGAUAUUCUCAAACGAUGGCUUAUUUUUUUAAAUUUAUUUUUAAUUUUUUAAAUUUAUUUAUCUAUUUUUAGAGAGAGAGAGAGAGAGAGGGAGAGAGAAUUCCAAGCAGGCUCUGCACAGUCAACACACAGCCAGUCACAGGGCUCAAACUCACCAACUGUGAGACUACGGAUGAUGUUAGCUUAAAUCAAGAGUCCUGUGCUUAACUCAGCCAACCAGGUGUCCCUCUCAUACCUUACUUUUAAAAGAAUUUUAUUUUGAGAGAGAGAGGGAGAGAGAGAGAGAGAGAGAGAGAGAGAGAGAGAGAGAGAGCGAGCACGCGUGGGGGAGGGGCAGAGAGAGAGAAUCCCAAGCAGGCUCCACACUGUCAGCACAGAGCCCAACGCAGACUCAAACCCACUAACCUUGAGAUCAUGGCAAGAAAUCGAGUCCAGCGCUUAACGGACUGAGCCACCCAGGUGCCCCCCCUUUAAUACUUUUAAUUGUGUAAACAUUUUGUUUAGCCAUUCAUUAUAACAUUUUGUUGCUAACCAUUUUGUUUAUUCAUUCAUGCAUAGAUGGCCAUUUGGGUUGUUUCCACCCUGUGGUUGUGGUAAAUAAUGCUUCUGUGAACAAAUAUUUGAGUCUCUGCUUUCACUUCUUUUGGGUGUGUACACAGAAGUGGAAUUGCUCGAUUAGUAGUACUGUGUUUGAUUUUCUGAGGACCUGCUCUACUCUGUUCCACAGUGGCUGCUGCACUUUACAUUUCCACCAGCAGACCACAAGGGUUCCGAUUUCUCCACAUCCUCACCAACAUUGGUUUAAGUUUUAAAAAUAAGGAAAAAUGCAUGCCUUAGUUGGUUGAGGGUCCAACUUCCAUUCAGGUCAUGAUCUCACGUGAGGUGGAGCCCCACAUAGGGCUCUAGGCUGACAGUUCAGAGCCUGCUUGGGAUUCUGUUUCUCUCCUUCUCCCACACUCAUGCUUUCUCUCUCUCUAAAUAAAUAAACUUUAAAAAAUUAAAAAUAAUAGCCAUCUUCAUGAGUGUGAUUUUCUUUUGCUUUCAGUUUUUAGGCAUUGCAUUAUUUUUUUUCUUCCAAGUUUUUUAUUUAUAUUUGUCUUUAUUUUUUAUAGCUUAUAAUUACAGAAUCAAAUCCAUGAAAGAAGAUGUUUUGGGGAAGUCUAGCUUUUAUCCCUGUGCCCUCUACCCUCUUGCCUGCAUUCCCUUAGAGGAAACAUUUGAUUGUUUUAAUGGACUCUUCUUUUUUCCCCUUAGCUAAGUGAAAUAUAUCCAGUCACAACCUCUUCCCUCUUCUCAGUCACAACCUGUUCCCUUCUUAGGUGAACACAUGGACUUCUCUGCUCCUCUUUUAGCAGCUGGCUUUGAGCAGUGUCAGAGAAGUGGUGUCCUUUACUGAACUGCAAUGACAUGGGUGGAUUCCUGUGAUUUGCUAUAUUACAUCAAUAACUCAAUGAGGAGCCUUCUGCUAACACUUUUCUGUAUUUUUCCAGAUAGUCUUUGAGAUGGAUUCCUAAAAAUGGGAUUGUGGGUCAAGGCUGGCUCCAUACAGGAUAGUGCUGGAGACCUGCCCUUUCCAUUCCCACCAUCACUGGGUAUGUCCCCUGUUGUCACACUGGGGAUUUUUGUCAGUCUGAGAGGUGAGAAAUGGCACUUCAGUGCAGUUUUAAUAUGCAUUUAUCUUAUGAUCAAGGUUAAGGAGCCCUGUGUGGGGCUCAAACUCACGACCCUGAGAUCCAAGACCUUAGCUGAGAUCAAGAGUCAGAUGCUUAACCAACUGAGCCACCCAGGCACCCCAAAGUUAAGGAUAUUUUUAUAUUUAAGUGCCAGUUACCUUUCUUUUUCUGUAAACUACUCAUAUCAUUUGCGUAUCUGAAAAAUGUAGGAUUGUAGGGUUUUCUUCUUCCUCGGUUGGCAUUUUCACUUUGAGAUCUUUACUGUUUGUCUUUUACUUUGUUCAUGGUGUUUCUUUUGCUAUCCAUACACUGGUUGUAACAUUGUACCUGCCUGUAUUGAUUCUGGAUUUUGGUUAGGAAAGUUCUCCUCACUUCUAGGUUAUUGAGGAAACUUACCCAUGUCGUCUAACAUUUGCAUAGUUUUAUUAUUAUUUUUUCAAGUAAUCUCUAUGAUCAACGUGGGGGCUGGAACUCAUGACCCUAAGAUCAAGAGUCAGACACUCCUCUGAUUCAGCCAGCCAGGCACCACUUGCAUGGUAUCUUAGUUCACAUUUCAACCUCCAGUCCAUUUCAGACUUAACUAUGGUUUAUGAUGUGAGGAUCUUUUGCACGUCUGUAGAAAUUUUAGACUCGGCUUGUCAAUUCUCAUAAAAAUGUCUGGGAAGUGAAUGCACCGAAUUUAGAGAUCAAUUUGCAGGGACUUCAGUCUUCUAGUCUUCAAACAUGAUGUCUCUGUCCAGUUUUUACUUCUCUCAGCAAUGAUCUGUAUUUUUUUAGUGUGACGGUCUCGCACAUCUUUACUUUUAGCCCUAGAUAUUUAAUUUUUUAAAAUUGUUUUAAAAAUUAAAAAAAAUUAACUUUUAAAAAAAAUUUAAUAUUUAUUUUGAGAGACAGUGAACAGGGGAAAGAUAGAGAGGGAGACAUGGAAUCUGAAACAGGCUCCAGGCUCCUAGCUGUCAGCACAGAGCCUGACACAGGGCUCGAAACUACAAACCAUGAGAUCAUGACCUGAGCUGAAGUCAGAUGCUUAACAGCCACCCAGAUGCCCCAAAAAUUAAAAAAAAUUUUUAAAAAUGUUUAUUUAUUUUUGAAAGAGAAAGAGAGAGUGCAAGCAGGGGAGGGGUGGAGAGAGAGAGAGAGAGAGAGAGAGAGAGAGAGAGAGAGAGAGAGAUCUGAAGCAGGCUCCAGGCUUUGAGCUGUCAGCUGUCAGCACAGAGCCCGAUGCAGGGCUCGAACCCACAAAUUGUGAGAUUAUGACCUGAGCCAAAGUCAGACGCUUAACCAACUGAGCCACCCAGGCGCCCCUCAGUAUUUUAUGUUUUUGAAUGCUAUUAAAAAUGGUGAAGAUUUUUUAAAAUUUCAUUUUCCAACUGCUCAUUGGUAGCAUAUAGAAAUACAACUGACCUUUGUAUAUUGACCUUGUGUACUGUGAUAUUGCUGAACCCCCUUAGUUCCCUGAGCUUUUCUGUAGAUUCUUCAGGACCUUAUAGACAAUGUUAUUGUGCAUGAGCAGGAUGGUUUCUCUUCCUCCUUUCCAAUCUAUCAACCACUAUCCUUACUGCACUGGCCACACUCUCCCCCAGUACAAUGCUAUUAGAAGUGGUGAUAACGGGCAGGGCACUCGUGUCUUGCUCCAGACCUUGGGGUGGGGGAGGGUACGUCUUGAAUAUUUCAUCGUUAACAUGUUAGCUGUGAGUUUUUUUCUCAGAUGAUCUUUAUCAAAUUGGAGAUGUUUCUUCUUUUUUCUAGUUUGCUAUACUAGAAGAGUAGAGUAGUCCAUACUGACAGUUGCCCUGUUCCUGUAUUUCUAUUGCAUUUUAUUCUAUCACACGAAUAACCACAGUUAUUUAUCUAUUGUUGAAGGACAUUUUGGUCAGUUACAGUUUUUGGUUAUGAAUAGUGCUCCUCAGAACAUUCCUAUUUGUGUCUUUCGGUGUACAGAUUUUGCACCUGUUCGGUACCUAUGUAGGAAUGGAAUUACUGGGUCAUAGAGUAGGAGAUUCUCAGCUUUAGUGGACACGUCAGUUUUCCAAAGUGGUUGUAGCAGCUUGCACAUCCACCAGCAGCUUCGGAGCAUCCUGGUUGCUCCACAUGCUCACGACACCUGAUAUUGUCUUUUCAGACACGCAGGUGGGUUAGUAGGUAUCACGUUGUGGCUUUAACUUUCAUUUUAAGCUGAACACCUUUUAUUAUUAUUCAAUGGCUCAGGAUAAUCUGUUUUGUGAAAUGCCUCUUCAGCUCUUUGUCCAUUUUUCUAGUUUGUGUCUUAACUGAUUUUUAGUAGUUUCUUAUAGAAGUCCUUUGAAUAGAUACAUGUACUGCAGACAUCUUUCCAGGUUUGUGGCAUGCUUUUUUUUUUUUUUAAUACUUUUUAAAAGCUGAUUUGUUUGCAUAAUCUCUACACCCCACGUGGGAUUUGAACUCAUGACCCCAAGAUCAAGAGUCACAUGUUCUACCGACUGAGCCAGCCAGGCACCCCUGUCGUCCCUUUUCAGAUAGUUGAAAUUAGUUUUUUUCCUUUUAUGAUUAGUGCUGGUUUUGGUUCUAAGAAAUCUUUGUGUGUCCCAAAGUCAUCAAGCCUGUAUUUUCUCUUCUGUAUCUGUAUUUUUUCCUAAAAGCCUUAAACUUUACCUUGAACAUUCAGCUCUACAUUUCACCUGGAAUUUUUAUGUCUGAUGUGACACAGGCAGUGAGGAUUAUAUUUGUUUUUCUAUACUGAUAUCCAGUUGAUGUGACACCAUUAUUGAAAAGACUAUUCUUUCCCUACUGCCCUGCAAUGUCUUUAUGUAUGUGGGUCUAUUCCUGGACUUCUCUUCCAUUGUAAACCACGUUGUCUCAACUACUGUAGCAUAUGGAUAAGUCUCGAUAUCUAGGCUUGUUGGUCUUUUUUUUUUUUUUUUUUCAGCGUUUUUUAUUUAUUUUUUUUGGGACAGAGAGAGACAGAGCAUGAACGGGGGAGGGGCAGAGAGAGAGAGGGAGACACAGAAUCGGAAACAGGCUCCAGGCUCUGAGCCAUCAGCUCAGAGCCCGACGCGGGGCUCGAACUCACGGACCGCGAGAUCGUGACCUGGCUGAAGUCGGACGCUUAACCGACUGCGCCACCCAGGUGCCCCAAGGCUUGUUGGUCUUUAAGAUCAUAAUAGCUGUAUUUUGACCGUUGUAUUCCCAUAUAAUUUUUAAAAAAUAUUUGAGAGAGAGAGCACGAGCAGGGGGAGGGUAGAGAGAGAGGGGGAGAGAGAAUCCCAAGCAGGAUCCAGACCCAGCAUCGAGCCCAACAUGGGAUUUGAUCCCACAACCCUGAGAUCGUGACCAGAGCUGAAAUCAAGAGUUGGGCACCCAGGCACCCUUCCCAUAUACAUUUUAGAUGUGCCAGUUUCCACCAUAAAACUUUCUGGGAUUUUGAUUGGUAUUUGCAGUGAAACUACAGAUCGAUUUGGGGAGAAUAAUCUGUGGGAUGUUGAAUCUUCCAAUCCAUGACUAUGUUACUCUAUUCGUUUAGGUCUUCUCUCAACAAUUGUACUUUUCAGUAUUUCUUCUUUCAUUAGAUUUAUUUUCUGAUAUUUGAUGUUUUAGGAUCCAACUCUAAAUGAUACGGUUUUCUUUUGUUGUGAGAUAUAUGUUGUACACAUACACACACAACUUGACUUUUGUAUAUGAAUCUGUAUCCUAUCACCUUGACUAUAGAUAUUUAUCGAUUAUCUGGAUUUUCACGUACACAAAUUCCACUUCUGAGUUUUGUUUUUCCUUUCCAGAUUCUUAAACUGUUUCCUUUUAUUGUUUGACUGGGCUGACUAGGGCCUCCAGCACAAGGUCUUAUAGGGGUGGUGGCAGCAGACACGUGUAUACCUUGUUCUUUAUCUCAGAGGCACCCAGUGCUCACCUAUAAGCAGGAUGGGUUUUUUGCAAACACAUCAAGGAAGUUCCUGGUCCUUGGGGCAUGGCUUUAUUUCUAGUAUACCCUAUCCCAAGUGUAGACCAAAUUUCCCUAAUAAACUCCUCAGAGGCAUCA